CGGUCACGCCACAACCAUUUUCUCCAUAAUAAGCAGGAUAUUGGAAAUGAAGAAGUUUGAUUUGUUGCUAAGCAACUGGAGAUCCAUGCACCAGACUCACCUAUCUCUUAUGGUGAAGACACAGUUCAAGUGUUGUUCCAUGGUGUUGCAAUUAACGACUAGUGUUGAUUGAGGAGACGAGAGAGCUGUGAAUCUUGGGAUGAAAAGUGACACAAUUAAAGAGACCCCAGAAGGAAUUAAGUGGAGUGAGAGAGAGAGAAGAAACAUAUUGGCUUGCUCUGAGACAGGAUUAUGGACUAAUGCACUAAGUGGACAGAGAUGAAGUGCAAGUUCUGAGUGGCUGGCUUCCAGAAUCAUGCAGAGCUGUGUUUCCGACCAGAUCAUCGGAUCCUGUGGUCAGUUUCAACAAUGUUAUUCUAAUGUGUGAAAUGGUUUUCCAUCCCCCUUGUUGUGCUUCCUGGGAGUAAUGCAACUGUGAUAAUGUAAACCAUUUUGAACAAACAUACUUGCAACAGAGUGUAGGGAAAUAUAUACAGUAUGUUCAUGUAAGUAUUUUCUACACUCAAGCUGACAUAAAGUCACCCAAUAAAUAAGUGUUGCCUCCCCUUCUCUAUCACUGUGUACCAGUGAGUGUGCAGUCAGUCACUAUGACGCAGGGAGGGGGUCCAACAAUCUGCUAUGAGUCACACCUGCAGAUGACUGACAUAUCAAUCACCUCAGGGGUCAAGCAUAUCACAGUCUCCAGAAAGCAAUAUAGAAGAGGUUAAAAACCCACACAAACAAUAACUGAAUGUAUAAAACCGUCAUUGUUCAGUCAGAAUGACUACUGUUUAGAGUGUCUGAGUCUUUAGAAUGUAUGCUUGCUCAAAAUGUCUGCAUGUUUAGUUACAGUAGAAUGUCUGAUUGUGUACAUGCGUUUAGAUCAGUAUGUUUAUCGUCGUUAUUAAGGUCAGGGUAAAAAAGAUGCUUCCGGAGGACCUGCACACUGCAUGUGGUGUAGACAGGCACAUAACGCGACUCCUGCACCUGGUGAUCAAGCCUCGUUACAUAAUGGUGACCAAUGUUCAAAGCCACAGUAAUAUCAGACAUGCACAUUUCUUAAAUUAAACAAUGUCAUGAUUAAUACAGAUCUGUAGCAGUGACCCGCUCUGUGACUCACUGUGUGCUCAGAGAGGAAGGGCAGCUUUUGAGUCCCCUGAGCUCAAUGUUCAAAUUUGGUGUCCCCAUCUGAAUAACACGCUGAU
Oncorhynchus gorbuscha (pink salmon) is the source of this 1244-nucleotide long non-coding RNA. RefSeq lists it as uncharacterized. NCBI's taxonomy places the organism in Eukaryota, Metazoa, Chordata, Actinopteri, Salmoniformes, Salmonidae. The record is from RefSeq and is a predicted model, not a curated record. The transcript is spliced from 3 exons.